UGAGAUGGACCCGCGUCUGAUUAGCUAGUUGGUAAGGUAACGGCUUACCAAGGCGACGAUCAGUAGCCGACCUGAGAGGGUGAUCGGCCACAUUGGAACUGAGACACGGUCCAAACUCCUACGGGAGGCAGCAGUGGGGAAUAUUGCACAAUGGAGGGAACUCUGAUGCAGCGACGCCGCGUGAGCGAAGAAGGAAUUCGUUUCGUAAAGCUCUGUCCUAUGGGAAGAUAAUGACGGUACCAUAGAAGAAAGCCCCGGCUAACUACGUGCCAGCAGCCGCGGUAAUACGUAGGGGGCGAGCGUUGUCCGGAAUUAUUGGGCGUAAAGGGUUCGUAGGCGGUAAUACAUGUCAGAUGUGAAAUCUUGUGGCUUAACCACAUCAAGCAUCUGAAACUGUAUAACUUGAGUGGAGGAGAGGUAAGUGGAAUUCCUAGUGUAGCGGUGAAAUGCGUAGAUAUUAGGAAGAAUACCAGUAGCGAAGGCGACUUACUGGCCUCUAACUGACGCUGAUGAACGAAAGCGUGGGUAGCAAACAGGAUUAGAUACCCUGGUAGUCCACGCCGUAAACGAUGAGUGCUAGGUGUCGGGAGUCAAAUCUCGGUGCCGUAGUUAACGCAAUAAGCACUCCGCCUGGGGAGUACGUGCGCAAGCAUGAAACUCAAAGGAAUUGACGGGGACCCGCACAAGCAGCGGAGCAUGUGGUUUAAUUCGAAGCAACGCGAAGAACCUUACCAGGACUUGACAUACUAGUGCCAAAUGUAGAGAUACAUUAUUUCCUCGGAACACUAAUACAGGUGGUGCAUGGUUGUCGUCAGCUCGUGUCGUGAGAUGUUGGGUUAAGUCCCGCAACGAGCGCAACCCCUAUGUUUAUUUGCCAGCAUUUCGGAUGGGAACUAUAGACAGACUGCCGAUAAGAAAUCGGAGGAAGGUGGGGAUGACGUCAAAUCAUCAUGCCCUAUAUGUCCUGGGCUACACACGUGCUACAAUGGUCGUUACAGAGAGCAGCUACACAGUGAUGUCACGCGAAUCUCAAAAAGGCGAUCUCAGUUCGGAUUGUACUCUGCAACUCGAGUACAUGAAGUCGGAGUUGCUAGUAAUCGCAAAUCAGAAUGUUGCGGUGAAUGCGUUCCCGGGUCUUGUACUCACCGCCCGUCA
This 1155-nucleotide ribosomal RNA is filed under the name uncultured bacterium. Its description in RNAcentral is "bacterial SSU rRNA". It matches the Rfam family "Bacterial small subunit ribosomal RNA", at positions 221 to 1399 of the family's 1533-position model. The record is from RNAcentral.